AGCUCCCACAAAAGCAGUUUCAUCUGGGCACGGCUGCUGCAUUGCGCUGUAGGGUACAAAUGGGGGGGAGGUCCUGUUCUGUCAUCUUGGUGACGUCCUCUCCUAUUACUGCAUUUCUUUUAUUUUCAGUGAGAGUGAAUACCUAUUAAACAGCAAAUUGCCGCUUCGGCUGCUAUCCAGCUCCUGAGGAACACUGUUCUGCUUUUGCUUCCUAUGAG
Long non-coding RNA from Lemur catta (Ring-tailed lemur), 218 nucleotides. RefSeq lists it as uncharacterized. NCBI's taxonomy places the organism in Eukaryota, Metazoa, Chordata, Mammalia, Primates, Lemuridae. The record is from RefSeq and is a predicted model, not a curated record. The transcript is spliced from 3 exons.